UCAAGUUAUUAAGGGUGCAGGGCGGAUGCCUUGGCACUAGGAGCCGAUGAAGGACGUGAUAAGCUGCGAUAAGCUUCGGGGAGUUGCACGUAAACUUUGAUCCGAAGAUUUCCGAAUGAGGAAACUCACUUAGAGUAAUGUCUAAGUAUCAUUAAGUGAAUACAUAGCUUAAUGAGGGGAACUCAGGGAACUGAAACAUCUAAGUACCUGAAGGAAGAGAAAGAAAUUCGAUUCCGUAAGUAGCGGCGAGCGAACACGGAUUAGCCCAAACCAAUAAAGUUUUCUUUAUUGGGGUUGCGGACAUAUCAUAACGAAGAGGUAUCGUAAUUGAAGAGGUUUGGAAAGACCCACCACAGAAGGUAAUAGUCCUGUAUGUUAAACGAGAAGACUUCAGAUAUGAUCCAGAGUACCACGGGACACGUGAAACCCUGUGGGAAGCAGGAGGGACCACCCUCCAAGGCUAAAUACUACCUAGUGACCGAUAGCGUAUAGUACCGUGAGGGAAAGGUGAAAAGAACCCCGGGAGGGGAGUGAAAUAGAACCUGAAACCCUGCACUUACAAGCUGUGGAAGCACAUUUCUUGUGUGACCGCGUACUUUUUGUAGAACGGGCCAACGAGUUACGUUAAGUAGCAAGGUUAAGCACUUAAGGUGCGGAGCCGUAGCGAAAGCGAGUUUUAACUGAGCGUUCAGUUACUUGACGUAGACCCGAAACCGGGCGACCUACCCAUGAGCAGGAUGAAGCGAAAGUAAAAUUUCGUGGAGGUCCGAACCCACGAGCGUUGAAAAGCUCGGGGAUGACUUGUGGGUAGCGGUGAAAUUCCAAUCGAGCCCGGAGAUAGCUGGUUCUCCCCGAAAUAGCUUUAGGGCUAGCCUCAAGGUGAGAGAUACGGAGGUAGAGCACUGAAUGUCCUAGGGGGUAUUGCACCUACCGAAGACUAUCAAACUCCGAAUGCCGUCAUCUUAUACUUGGGAGUCAGACUGUGGGUGAUAAGAUUCAUAGUCGAAAGGGCAACAGCCCAGAUCGUCAGCUAAGGUCCCUAAAUGUAAGUUAAGUGGUAAAGGAUGUGGGAUUGCACAGACAACCAGGAUGUUGGCUUAGAAGCAGCCACUCAUUCAAAGAGUGCGUAAUAGCUCACUGGUCGAGUGAUCCUGCGCCGAAGAUUUCCGGGGCUAAAACUUACUACCGAAGCUACGGCAUCAGUAAUGAUGGGUAGGGGAGCUUCCCAUACGGGUUGAAGCAUGACCGUAAGGACAUGUGGACAGUAUGGGAGUGAGAAUGUUGGCAUGAGUAGCGAGAUGUGGGUGAGAAUCCCACAGGCCGUAAACCCAAGGUUUCCAGGGGAAGGUUCGUCCGCCCUGGGUUAGUCGGGACCUAAGCUGAGGCCGAAAGGCGUAGGUGAUGGACAACAGGUUGAUAUUCCUGUACUACCGAUAACCGUUUGAGAGAAGGGAUGACACAGUAGGAUAAGCUAAGCACACUGUUGGUUAUGUGUGCCCAAGCAUUGAGGCAGUCAAAGCAGGCAAAUCCGCUUUGAUAAUGCUGGGAUGUGAUGGGGAGCGAAAUUUAGUAGCGAAGUAGCUGAUUUCACACUGUCAAGAAAAGUCUCUAUCGAGGUUAAAGGUACCCGUACCGCAAACCGACACAGGUGGGUGAGGAGAGUAUCCUAAGGCCAGCGAGAGAACUGUUGUUAAGGAACUCGGCAAAAUGACCCCGUAACUUAGGGAUAAGGGGUGCCACCAUCCGGUGGCCGCAGAGAAUAGGCCCAAGCGACUGUUUACCAAAAACAUAGGUUUCUGCUAAGUCGCAAGACGAUGUAUAGGAGCUGACGCCUGCCCGGUGCUGGAAGGUUAAGGGGAUCUGUUAGAGCAAUCGAAGCAGUGAACUUAAGCCCCAGUAAACGGCGGCCGUAACUAUAACGGUCCUAAGGUAGCGAAAUUCCUUGUCGGGUAAGUUCCGACCCGCACGAAAGGCGUAACGAUUUGGGCACUGUCUCAACAACAGACUCGGUGAAAUUGUAAUUCCGGUGAAGAUGCCGGAUACCUGCGACAGGACGGAAAGACCCCAUGGAGCUUUACUGUAGCUUGACAUUGGGUCUUGGUACUACAUGUACAGGAUAGGUGGGAGGCUUUGAAACCAGGACGCCAGUUUUGGCGGAGCCAUCCUUGGGAUACCACCCUUGUAGUACUGGGACUCUAACCAUAGGCCAUGAAUCUGGUCUUGGGACACUGUCAGGUGGGCAGUUUGACUGGGGCGGUCGCCUCCCAAAAGGUAACGGAGGCGCUCAAAGGUUCUCUCAGUACGGUCGGAAAUCGUACGUAGAGUGUAAAGGCAAAAGAGAGCUUGAUUGCAAGACAUACAGGUCGAGCAAGGAUGAAAAUCGGACUUAGUGAUCCGGUGGUUCUGCGUGGAAGGGCCAUCGCUCAACGGAUAAAAGCUACCCUGGGGAUAACAGGCUUAUCUCCCCCAAGAGUCCACAUCGACGGGGAGGUUUGGCACCUCGAUGUCGGCUCAUCACAUCCUGGGGCUGUAGUAGGUCCCAAGGGUUGGGCUGUUCGCCCAUUAAAGUGGUACGCGAGCUGGGUUCAGAACGUCGUGAGACAGUUCGGUCCCUAUCCGUCGCAGGCGUAGGAAAUUUGAGAAGACCUGUCCUUAGUACGAGAGGACCGGGAUGGACGUACCUCUGGUGUACCAGUUGUCCUGCCAAGGGCAUGGCUGGGUAGCUAUGUACGGAAUGGAUAAGCGCUGAAAGCAUCUAAGCGCGAAGCCAACUUCAAGAUAAGAUUUCCCACCGCAAGGGUAAGACCCCAGAAAGACUAUCUGGUUGAUAGGUCGAAGGUGUAAGUGCAGCAAUGUAUUUAGCUUAUCGAUACUAAUAGGUCGAGGACUUGACCAA
Molecule: ribosomal RNA, 2896 nt
Filed under: Clostridioides difficile
Lineage: Bacteria; Bacillati; Bacillota; Clostridia; Peptostreptococcales; Peptostreptococcaceae
Description: bacterial LSU rRNA
Rfam family: Bacterial large subunit ribosomal RNA
Source: RNAcentral